Hipposideros armiger (great roundleaf bat) is the source of this 395-nucleotide long non-coding RNA. RefSeq lists it as uncharacterized. Lineage: Eukaryota; Metazoa; Chordata; Mammalia; Chiroptera; Hipposideridae. The record is from RefSeq and is a predicted model, not a curated record. The transcript is spliced from 3 exons.
CUUUAGGCCAAAAGAAAUACUUAACAAUCCUGUUUAUUAAGUGGUUAGGCGCAAACUACUUAAAUAUUUACAGCUUAACAACUUCGCAGACUUUGAAAGGCAACCACGGAAAACCUAGCUUGCAAAGAUAUGACAUCAUGGAAAGGAAUGUCGUGCAACGUAAUGCUGAAACUACCUUGAGCUAGCAGUCACGAGGCACCUGAGAGAUGUCAACUAUUACUGUACUUGCCUUGAAGAUGUCAAGUAUUCCGUGGUGCCCCUAUUCAGAAUCUGACCACGUCUCCCAAUCUCCGUACUACUGGUCCAGCCACCAUUGCCUACACCUGGACAAGGCCGUGCCUCCUCAGUGGGUGCCCUGCUUCUGCCUGGCCUAUUCUCAGCCCAGCUGCCAGAGA